This 231-nucleotide long non-coding RNA is filed under the name Mytilus galloprovincialis (Mediterranean mussel). The record is from RNAcentral. Lineage: Eukaryota; Metazoa; Mollusca; Bivalvia; Mytilida; Mytilidae.
GGGGAAAAAAAGGUUGGGGGCAGGGAUAAUGUCAAUAUCAGUUACUGGUUGCAAUAAGCUUAAAGUUAGUUUACAUUUAGUGACACUUCAGUAUACCAAUCCUAUGAUUCUUGCAAAUUUUGACUGAAUUCAGAUAUAAUAUUGUUAAAUUCUAUAAAAAGGAGAAAAUCAAAAAUUAGCAGCUAUGCUAAAAGUAACUUAUACCCUUUUAAUGUGCAUAUUGAAAUUUUU